GCCCCUCGUGGCCUAAUGGAUAAGGCAUCGGUCUCCCCAACCGGGGAUUGUGGUUCGAGUCCAUAUCUUGCCGAGGGUA
This is a non-coding RNA of Trichonephila clavipes, 79 nucleotides long. NCBI's taxonomy places the organism in Eukaryota, Metazoa, Arthropoda, Arachnida, Araneae, Nephilidae. The record is from the annotation of a GenBank genome assembly.